UUUCAAAUGAGAAGGAAGGUGAUGGUAACUCAACCGCAAUGCAGGAAAAAUGUCAGUUUCUUCUUUCCAAAUGUCACUCCUCAAUACUUUCUCCCACACAUUAUGAUUUCUUUCACCUCGUAGAACCCCUCCAAUAGCUUGCGCUGCCAAAGGCAACCCUUGACAUCUUCUGGCAAUUUUUUCACCUAUUGCCUUCAGAUCCAAGUGCUCGUCAAAAUUUGUUGCUCCCAAAGCAUGUUGGGCUAAGAUAGACAGACAACCAUCAUAUGACAACUGCUUAAGAGUAUAAGAAUGAGAAUGAACACAACCCAUCAUUCGCGAAACACGUUCACUACGAGUUGUGACAACUAUUCUACUUCCUUUUGCCCCAUGUUGAAAAGGACCAUGAAAGAGAGUCCAAUCCCCAUACUUCUCAUUCCAAACGUCAUCUAGGACAAUAAAAAAUUUCUUCUCAAGCAGCCUUUCCUUCAAAUUUUCUUGAAGAAAAUUCAAAUCUUCGCCAUCAUAAUGUCCACCAAACCACAGGAAAAUUGUUCGGGUAAUUCUGAAAACGUCAAAAUCAUCACCAACUAAGACCCAAGCCGCUAAAUCAAAGUUCAUUUUGGCUUCAUUAAAGACAAGCUGAGCUAGAGUUGUCUUGCCAAGGCCUCCCAUACCAAUUAUGGAAAUAACGGAGACACCUGCCUCACUUGAUUUAGCAUUCAAAAAUUCAAGUAUCGCCUU
Molecule: unclassified non-coding RNA, 723 nt
Filed under: Hevea brasiliensis (rubber tree)
Lineage: Eukaryota; Viridiplantae; Streptophyta; Magnoliopsida; Malpighiales; Euphorbiaceae
Source: RNAcentral